GUUUCCGUAGGUGAACCUGCGGAAGGAUCAUUGUCGA
Molecule: ribosomal RNA, 37 nt
Filed under: Ficus tikoua
Lineage: Eukaryota; Viridiplantae; Streptophyta; Magnoliopsida; Rosales; Moraceae
Also listed under: 1 other name
Description: partial 18S ribosomal RNA
Source: RNAcentral